RNAcentral lists this long non-coding RNA (1391 nucleotides) under Equus asinus (donkey). RNAcentral describes it as "lncRNA (ENSEASG00005028631.1)". The record is from RNAcentral. Lineage: Eukaryota; Metazoa; Chordata; Mammalia; Perissodactyla; Equidae.
GUGGGACUGACUCACGCGAGACAGAAAUGACAACCCGCGAUUGUAAAGGCAGGAGUCGGGACACCCACAUCUCCCACUCCUCCCUCCCUGGCCCUGAGGUCCCUUCCGUAGAGUCGACCUAGACUGUCCACCAGGUGUUCUGUCUGUCCGGAUUGCUCCCGAACGGUUGGGGCUGACCUGGUUUUUGCCGGGCCACGUAGACCUGUGUUUUAUUCAGUUUUAUUCGUUGUGAAGGGUAGUCGGCGGGCCGCCCAAUGGCACAGCGGUUAAGUGCGCGCUUCCGCCUCGGCGGCCCCGGUUCCGGGUUAGGAUCGCCGGUGCGGACAUGGCACCGCUUGGCAAGCCGUGGUGUGGCAGGCGUCCCACAUAUAACAGUAGAGGAAAAUGGGCACGGAUGUUAGCUCAGGGCCAGUCUUGCUCGGCAAAAAGAGGAGGAUUGGCAGAUCUUAGCUUAGGACUGAUCUUCCUCAAAAAUAAAAGGGGGGGUGUCGCUGCUUUCCUUUGCUUUUCAGUGCUGGCGUUGGUUGUCUCGCUUUGAUCAGUACUGGGUAGGUAGUAGAGAUUUAAAUACACCCUCAUUAAAUGUCAGAGAGUCUUAAAAGUUUUGGAGCUAGAUGACCUGCCAAAUCAGGACUGCCUGUUUAGUUAGUACAAUUCCCUCAUUUUACACUAGUUUGUUCUACGUAACAUAGCCAUUGACUCUUAGGAAACCUAAGCAUUUUAAGAACGAUCGUUUAGUUCAGUUAACGUUCUAGGCGGAGUGCUAAAGCCUUUACACGUUUUAUCUCGUUUAAUUCUCACGACAAUGCUAUGAAAUAGUUGCCAUUAUUAUUUUUUUUAGUAGAUAAGAGAACCGAAGCACAAAGAGAGCUGAAGCCCGAGGUAAACCAGUAAGUAGAUGGAAGCAGUAUUCCAGUACAGAGCAGUGACUUCAGAGGUCGUGAGCUAAACUGAUGGGCUCUUGUUACCACUAUAUUUUAAUAUGGAAGUUUUUGCAGGUUUCUAGUUCACAUCUUUAGCACUUUGUAACCCUGCCAGUUAAAAGAUCUGUGUCUGAAAAUGGGAGAAGGAAAAAACCAAAGGAGGUGCUGACUAACUUAGAAGGUUUGUGAUCUAUUGUAAGUAAACAACUAGAUUUUCUAUCUAAAAACAGGAACUAACUAACAUAUAAUUAUUGUAGUAUUAUCAGGAGCUAUAAAAAUUGCAAAUUUAGGAGGAAGCUUGGCACACGUUAGCUCAGGGCUAAUCUUCCUCAAGCAAAAAAAAGGAGGAUUGGCAACAGAUGAUAGCUCAGGGCAAGUCUUCCUCAAAAAAAAGCAAAUUUGGGGGCAAAAUAAGUGAUUGCUGUUUUGGAGGUCUAGGAUGUGGUGGGGCACAACAUGAGAAGAGAG